RNAcentral lists this ribosomal RNA (160 nucleotides) under Hullsia argillicola. RNAcentral's name for it is "5.8S ribosomal RNA". It matches the Rfam family "5.8S ribosomal RNA". Rfam says of the family: 5.8S ribosomal RNA (5.8S rRNA) is a component of the large subunit of the eukaryotic ribosome. It is transcribed by RNA polymerase I as part of the 45S precursor that also contains 18S and 28S rRNA. Functionally, it is thought that 5.8S rRNA may be involved in ribosome translocation. The record is from RNAcentral. Lineage: Eukaryota; Viridiplantae; Streptophyta; Magnoliopsida; Asterales; Asteraceae.
ACGACUCUCGGCAACGGAUAUCUCGGCUCACGCAUCGAUGAAGAACGCAGCRAAAUGCGAUACUUGGUGUGAAUUGCAGAAUCCCGUGAACCAUCGAGUUUUUGAACGCAAGUUGCGCCCGAAGCCAUUCGGCCGAGGGCACGUCUGCCUGGGCGUCACA